AUUGAACGCUGGCGGCAGGCCUAACACAUGCAAGUCGAGCGGAUGAAGGGAGCUUGCUCCUGGAUUCAGCGGCGGACGGGUGAGUAAUGCCUAGGAAUCUGCCUGGUAGUGGGGGAUAACGUCCGGAAACGGGCGCUAAUACCGCAUACGUCCUGAGGGAGAAAGUGGGGGAUCUUCGGACCUCACGCUAUCAGAUGAGCCUAGGUCGGAUUAGCUAGUUGGUGGGGUAAAGGCCUACCAAGGCGACGAUCCGUAACUGGUCUGAGAGGAUGAUCAGUCAGAAGGGAACUGGGACACGGUCCAGACACCUACGGGAGGAAGAAGUGGGGAAUAUUGGACAAUAGGCGAAAGCCUGAUCCAGCCAUGCCGCGUGUGUGAAGAAGGUCUUCGGAUUGUAAAGCACUUUAAGUUGGGAGGAAGGGCAGUAAGUUAAUACCUUGCUGUUUUGACGUUACCAACAGAAUAAGCACCGGCUAACUUCGUG
This 484-nucleotide ribosomal RNA is filed under the name uncultured bacterium. RNAcentral's name for it is "partial 16S ribosomal RNA". It matches the Rfam family "Bacterial small subunit ribosomal RNA", at positions 30 to 507 of the family's 1533-position model. The record is from RNAcentral.